RNAcentral lists this transfer RNA (71 nucleotides) under Marmota monax (woodchuck). RNAcentral's name for it is "tRNA.Val". It matches the Rfam family "tRNA". Rfam says of the family: Transfer RNA (tRNA) molecules are approximately 80 nucleotides in length. Their secondary structure includes four short double-helical elements and three loops (D, anti-codon, and T loops). The record is from RNAcentral. Lineage: Eukaryota; Metazoa; Chordata; Mammalia; Rodentia; Sciuridae.
GGGGUUGUGGCUCAGUGGUAGAGCACUUGCCUCACACAUAUGAGGUCCUGGGUUUGAUCCUCAGCACCACA